UAACGUGGCGUCGAGCCAUUGGUUCGAUCAUGCCGACAACUGCUUCAAUUACCAAAUUACCCCUAUUCAUCCCAAGAUAUUCACGAUAUCUACCCCUGCUCGCCUUCUCGCACUUCGCGUCUCAUCAGCUCAAGUUCAUGACUGGGAGCGACUCUCAGUCUCUCUCGCUCUCUCUCGGCCAUGUCUUCUUGAAUUUCAGCGGAUUCUGUGAAAUAUCCUUAGGUUUCACAGCCAAAGCAAUCGAUUUUGGCGGAAGAACCCUAGGUUCUGCUUUAGAUCCAGUGCGAAUCUCAACUAAAAGAUUCCAAGAACAGAGAAAUUAGUGAUUGCCAACUCUUACUUGAUAUUCUACUGAAAAUGGGGAAAUUUUCGUCUUCUGAUACUAAUCUUGAUGUGUAUGUUGCUUGCUACUUUCAAAGUUCGUCGUUCUACUUACACGUUUUAAAGUAUGAAAUCGGGCUAUAUGCUGUUAGCUACAGUUGCUUUUUGCUUUUAUGCUCCAUUUUUGCAUUUUACUGUUGUUAUUGCUAUAUUUUAUCGUCUUCGUUUAUUUUUGGACAUUUAUACUCUCUAAGAAUGGGUUAUUUAAUGUCUGCAGUUAAUUUUUGGACGUGGCUUAAGAUUUGGUGUCUUAUCAGGAUAUUUUUUUAUAACUAGCGGUGAUCUGGUAUUUAAUUUUUGAAUUUAUGGAGAAGUUUUUAUCUGACCAAGAUCCAACCUUGUCCAACUCUAUGAAUUUAUGCCUGAUUUUGAUUCUAAGCUUCUCACUCGCAUUUAAAAAUGUUUUACUUUUACAUUAUACUUUUUGUAUCCUCUAUCCAUUUAGAAUUAUUUUCUGAAA
Molecule: RNA transcript, 841 nt
Organism: Malania oleifera
Lineage: Eukaryota; Viridiplantae; Streptophyta; Magnoliopsida; Santalales; Ximeniaceae
Exons: 2
Source: RefSeq, a predicted model, not a curated record